UAGGGAAUCUUCCACAAUGGGCGCAAGCCUGAUGGAGCAACGCCGCGUGAGUGAAGAAGGUUUUCGGAUCGUAAAGCUCUGUUGUAAGAGAAGAACGUGUGUGAGAGUGGAAAGUUCACACAGUGACGGUAACUUACCAGAAAGGGACGGCUAACUACGUGCCAG
This 165-nucleotide ribosomal RNA is filed under the name uncultured bacterium. RNAcentral describes it as "partial 16S rRNA". It matches the Rfam family "Bacterial small subunit ribosomal RNA", at positions 355 to 511 of the family's 1533-position model. The record is from RNAcentral.